Molecule: ribosomal RNA, 425 nt
Filed under: uncultured Acidobacterium sp.
Lineage: Bacteria; Pseudomonadati; Acidobacteriota; Terriglobia; Terriglobales; Acidobacteriaceae
Description: bacterial SSU rRNA
Rfam family: Bacterial small subunit ribosomal RNA
Source: RNAcentral
ACGCGAAGAACCUUACCCAGGCUUGAACAGCGAGUGACCAGCGAUGAAAGUCGCCUUCCGCAAGGACACUCGUAGAGGUGCUGCAUGGCUGUCGUCAGCUCGUGUCGUGAGAUGUUGGGUUAAGUCCCGCAACGAGCGCAACCCUUGUCCUCUGUUGCCAUCACGUAAUGGUGGGCACUCUGGGGAGACUGCCGGUGAUAAACCGGAGGAAGGUGGGGAUGACGUCAAGUCAGCAUGGCCUUUAUGUCUGGGGCUACACACGUGCUACAAUGGCCGGUACAAAGCGUCGCGAGCCCGCGAGGGGGAGCUAAUCGCAGAAAGCCGGUCUCAGUUCGGAUCGUAGGCUGCAACUCGCCUGCGUGAAGUCGGAAUCGCUAGUAAUCGCGGAUCAGCACGCCGCGGUGAAUACGUUCCCGGGCCUUGUA